This 300-nucleotide long non-coding RNA is filed under the name Lathyrus oleraceus (garden pea). Its description in RNAcentral is "Pisum sativum (pea) long non-coding RNA (PSAT_LNC003009)". The record is from RNAcentral. Lineage: Eukaryota; Viridiplantae; Streptophyta; Magnoliopsida; Fabales; Fabaceae.
GUGGUUGUGUUUCAGCGUGGAUUGUUUCAGAUGGUGGAGGGUCAAAGGUGGUUGUGUUUGGUUCUUCUGUGGGUGAAGAGGUGACUUCUAGUUCAGGUGUGGGUUGUGUUGGUUGUUGUGAGGCCAGAGCACGUGUUUGGAGCUGAGCCAAAGUCGAAGAGGAAGGGUCAGAUGGUUCAGUAUCUGUGGAAAUGUUGUAGUAGGGGGUGAUUCUGGAGAAGAAAAUGAAGAGGGUGAGGUGGUUUCGUUCAACAUUUCUGCUUCUGAAACAGGUAAGGUUGUAGUGGCAAGGUUGAAUUU